GCCAGAGUGGUGGAAGGGUAGACACACCGCGAUUCGGGAUCCGGCGCUUCGGCAUGAGGGUUUGAGUCCCUCCUUUGGCA
This 80-nucleotide transfer RNA is filed under the name Pseudocercospora pini-densiflorae CBS 125139. RNAcentral's name for it is "tRNA-Pro (CGG) (tRNA-Pro-CGG-2-1)". It matches the Rfam family "tRNA". From Rfam's summary of the family: Transfer RNA (tRNA) molecules are approximately 80 nucleotides in length. Their secondary structure includes four short double-helical elements and three loops (D, anti-codon, and T loops). Lineage: Eukaryota; Fungi; Ascomycota; Dothideomycetes; Mycosphaerellales; Mycosphaerellaceae. The record is from RNAcentral.